CAACAAAUUCCCACAGACGACCAUGUCUGACCCUUCAGGUUCUGCUCCAGCGUCUGGGCAGGUCCAGCUCUGAGCUUCCCCCAAACUCCAACUCAUUCACAUUCUCCUGAGCUGGAACCACUCCGACCUGGGGUAAGAAUGCUGGGUGAAAUUCUAGAUGAUCUGAAGCCUUACCACUGACUUGCUAUAUGAUUUGGGCCAAGCUAAUCUCUCUGAGCUGCAAAUCAUCUGGAAAGGUGAUAUUAACUUAUUUUACGUAAACCCCACAUUCUUAAAGGUAUACAAUAAGUUAAUGUU
RNAcentral lists this long non-coding RNA (297 nucleotides) under Rhinopithecus bieti (black snub-nosed monkey). Its description in RNAcentral is "lncRNA (ENSRBIG00000046659.1)". Lineage: Eukaryota; Metazoa; Chordata; Mammalia; Primates; Cercopithecidae. The record is from RNAcentral.